UAGGGAAUAUUGGACAAUGGGUGCAAGCCUGAUCCAGCCAUGCCGCGUGCAGGAAGAAAGCCUUCUGGGUUGUAAACUGCUUUUUUCAGGGGAUAAAAGGCCCGUGCGCGGGACAUUGAAAGUACCUGGAGAAUAAGCCACGGCUAACUACGUGCCAGCAGCCGCGGUAAUACGUAGGUGGCGAGCGUUGUCCGGAUUUAUUGGGUUUAAAGGGUGCGUAGGCGGCUCAUUAAGUCAGUUGUGAAAUACGACAGCUUAACUGUCGAGGUGCAAUUGAUACUGGUGAGCUUGAGUACUGAUGAGGUAGGCGGAAUGGACGGUGUAGCGGUGAAAUGCUUAGAGAUCGUCCAGAACACCGAUAGCGAAGGCAGCUUACUAAGGAGUAACUGACGCUGAGGCACGAAAGUGUGGGGAUCAAACAG
This 422-nucleotide ribosomal RNA is filed under the name uncultured organism. RNAcentral describes it as "bacterial SSU rRNA". It matches the Rfam family "Bacterial small subunit ribosomal RNA", at positions 355 to 775 of the family's 1533-position model. The record is from RNAcentral.